This is a non-coding RNA of Misgurnus anguillicaudatus (oriental weatherfish), 3114 nucleotides long. Lineage: Eukaryota; Metazoa; Chordata; Actinopteri; Cypriniformes; Cobitidae. The record is from RefSeq and is a predicted model, not a curated record.
CCCAGUAUCACGCUAAAGCGUGUAAUAGACACGCUGGUCCACUAGAGGAUGCGUGUCAAUGUCACGCUUUGCCUCCUCUAGGCGUGAAAAUGACACGCAUUUAUGAGGAUGAUAACCAAUAGGGGGCGAUAAUUUCUUAUUGCCAACAACUUCAACAAGAGAAGCGACGCAGUGAUAUGCGUUCUCUGGAGCUCCAUGGGUAAGGCUUUCUUGGAAAUUUGGUGAUUAAUGUUACUAAAAUUGAGUAAAUCCUGUGUUUAUGUUAAGUCUUUGUUGCAACGUUAGCAAUAUAAUAUCACCGCUAAGGCAACAGACAAGUCAGUGCACGCGUUUGGUCAGAAUCCAAUUGGCUCAUAUUUAGGACAUAAUUGUUUGUUCAGGUGCGGUCAUUUAAGAAAUCCUGAAGUUGGUGCAGCAUAACAUUUAAUUUGCGUGUGUGGACUAUGGAGUUAUCUAUAGUGGUUUUUACGUUACUAAGGUCAGAAACAUUAUUGGAUGACUGUUUGAUAAUCAGCUAAUGUAUUAAUCACAGAAAGCUGCAGUGACUGCAUUGUAUUAUGUUGCUAAACAGUUGUUCUAGCGUUUUUAAACCAGUAGUUUUAUUAAUUUCGCGCGGAAUACAGUUCAUGAAAUAAGCUCUAAAUGAAAAAAAAUAACCGUUUUAAGUAAAUAAUUGUGUUCAUUGUAAAUCUGCUCAUCUAAACAUACAAGGCGGAACCAAUCGAUCACAGAGAGCGAUCGCUGCUGACACCGUCAGCAGCACUUACAUUCAGAUUACAAUAAUAUUUCACAUUAUUACAUUCAGAUUACAAUAAUAUUUCACAUUAUAAGUGUUUUUAUAUCAAAUAAAUGCAGCCUUGGUGAGCAGAAUACAUUUAUUUAAUUAUUUAAUAUUAUUUAUAUAAUAAGGCUAGUUUGUGCAGUUACAUUUAUGUCAAUUGAUCGUUAGAAGGGAUUAAAAUGGAUUGUGUUAUGUUCUGUAAUUGUUGUUAAUAAAUCUUUCAGAAGAAAGUGUGUAAAAGUUUGACUACAGUAACCAUAUCUAACCAAGCUUCAUGUACCAAGAUAAUUAUUUCAAUUAUUUCUCAUCAGAUCAACUGUUCAUUUAUGCAGUUUAUGCUUUAUUUAUAGGUAGCAUAACUGUUACCUUUUUGUUUACAGUUCUGCAUAUAUAAUAUGACAAACCUAGGAGACUUUGCUGUAAGAGAAUUAAUCAUGUUUUUGUUUUCUUUUCUCAGGUCCGGUCAGGACCCACCACCCUUCCCUGUUCACCCACAGUUUAUACUUAUUCUUAGAAAACCAACGGCUCUUUUAAGAGCCACUUCAAUAGACCCUUUUACAGCCCACGUGAUCAAAUAGCCUGCGUGCGCAUUUUGGCAACGGAAGUGAUGUUAUUUCCCAGUGGUUCUAACGUGUAAGCAACUCAGAAAGUUUAUUAAAACGAUUUCCCCACAUCAAAACGUCUGGUUGUAGCAUUUGGUUGCACUAAUAUAAUAUAUGUUUAGUAUUUGGCCAUCUUCUAACGUCUUCUAUCCACUCCACUAUAGUACACGGAUUUGGUAACUGUGUAGAAGAUAAGUCAACUUUUUAAACUAACUUUCUCUGUCUGUGUUGCUUCACUGCUGAUUCUUGCCGUGCUUCCGUUGCCAAACUGCAUGCGCAUACGUUGCCACGUCAUCAUUGUGUACAAACAGUAAAAGGGUCACUCACUCACUCACUCUUUCGCAAGCUUCUCUGUUUUCAAGUAUUGUAAUUUUAUUCAUUUUACUCUCUCUCUCACUGUCCAAAACACUUAUCCUAUGCCUCUUUGUCUGACCAAUGUAGUAUUGUUGAAAUGGCUGCUGAGCAAGACAGAGGGAGAGCAAAGGGUGUUAUUUUCAUAGCAGACAUGCUUCUUGCUCAAAUCAAGGCAGAGGAACCCAAGGGCAAAGCAACAGCCAUUAAAGGGAGUACAUUUAAUGUCAGAUAGGUGGAGAAAAUGCUGAAGGAGGUCCACUACUAAAAAGAAGCAGAAGUGAAGAGAUACAAAGCUUCAGCUACAGUCUGUUUAUUGCCUACAGUGAGACCUCCACAUUUCUGCACUUGUGAUCAUGCAAACAUCCAGUGUAGGGCACUUCACCUGCCCGGCAUGUACACCCAACAAUGCUUGCUCUUUGUGCAGAUGGCAACAGAAAAACCUACAGAUUCCGUCUGUCAAAAGAAAGGAGCUUCAAGCAGCCACAAACGGAGAGUUCUUUUGAACAGAUAUUGCUUGCAAGUAUUGGCCAUACCUUGAGAAGGCGUCAGUCUCCAUGUUGGAACUCAGACCUUUACUGCAGAUGAGACCUUUCCUUUCUGUCAUGCAUGCCAAGGCUCAUUCAACCAAGUGUCAGGUGUCACACAUUUGUUAGAUAAUCUGGCAAAAAUCAGGAAGGUGCUGGUACAACUGCAGUUGAGGAGGUCGAAAUGGUCAACAGCUACCUGUCUCGUUGUGGCCUCACAACCAACCAGGAAUGACAUGCUAACUGUCCAUGCUAUUGGGUGGAACCAACGGAAGCAAGAAGGCCUUCAGCAUUAUCCAGCAGAUACAUCAAGAAAGGCUGAGUCUCAGAGACGGGAAGAUUUGAGCAGUGAACUGGGGUGUCCUGAGAACAUUGUGAAUCAGUGGGUACAAGAUGUCAGACAAAAGGCUACUGAUGGAUUUGGUAGGUACCAGAUGUGAUGACCUACAUAACCUUCAGAAAUUAAUUGAACAAAUGUUUCUUAGUCUUCAUCGAAAAGCCAGCCUUUAUAAUCACACUGAAUCCAGCAACACCCUCACCAAGAAGAUUUUUUUGAUGUAUACAUGUCAAAAGUGCGCCUUCAAGAAGCAAAGAUCAUUGUGAUGAGGGAGAUGAGACACCACUGCACCGCACCUAUCUCAGAAGCCUGGCUAGGAACAUCAGGAAAAUGAUUUCAGAAAUGUCUUCAGGCAAAAACAGUGGGAGUAUAAGUGAAGAGUGUCAUUGCUGGCUACUGUGUCGUCUUCAGAAAAGGCUUGCAGAUGUAGAGAAGAAGUUCCAAGUUUGCUCAAGUUACAGCCAGGCUUUAGGACAGUGUUCUUCACUCCCAACCAUGGAGCGCCGGUGUCCUGCA